CAGCCGCCACGGGAAUACGGAGGGUGCAAGCGUUAUCCGGAUUUAUUGGGUUUAAAGGGUCCGUAGGCGGACUUAUAAGUCAGUGGUGAAAGCCUGUCGCUUAACGAUAGAACUGCCAUUGAUACUGUAAGUCUUGAGUAUAUUUGAGGUAGCUGGAAUAAGUAGUGUAGCGGUGAAAUGCAUAGAUAUUACUUAGAACACCAAUUGCGAAGGCAGGUUACCAAGAUAUAACUGACGCUGAGGGACGAAAGCGUGGGUAGCGAACAGGAUUAGAUACCCCAGUAGUCCCUGUCUCUUAUAC
Molecule: ribosomal RNA, 301 nt
Filed under: uncultured bacterium
Lineage: Bacteria
Description: partial 16S ribosomal RNA
Rfam family: Bacterial small subunit ribosomal RNA
Source: RNAcentral